UUGAGUUAUAUGAAAUUAAUAGAGCCACCUCCUACCUCCCAAGCCCUCCAUCCCUUUAGAAUGCACCAAAUGAGCACCAAAAACACAUUUCAGAUAGCAACUGCUGCUGACCCAGGGGAAAUCCCUGUGUUUUCAGUGUGGUUGGAUUCAGCAACCACUUGGUACUACUUGACUCUAAAAUUAGAAAGUUGUCUCUCGCUCUUUUUAUAUGCACCUGCAGCCUGAUUAUGCAGUUCCAUUUACUACAUAAAAGAAGAAGGUAUCCAGACUCAAGCUCUUUGAUUAAUCAAAUAUUUUCCCUCAUUUCCAGAUAUCCCCCUGGGCAGUAUGCAGAGACAUGCCUUUUUACCUGAGUGUGUGCCUACUUAACAACUGUUCACUGUCCAUGGAUCCCAGGGACAAAUCUGGGAAACAUCUCCAAGAAGUUCAUUCUAGAAGUCGCAACUCCCUAAGAGGAUCUCCCUGCCUGGAUUUCUAUAGCUAACGGAAAUCCAACUGUACUUAUCACUCGAGGCCCUGAGAUGUUUACGGUACUAUAAAUUUUAGGCACAGUUUCAAGUUCUCCACAGCAGAAGGCAGCCUUCUCUGAGCACUGUGCACUGCCGACUCUGUUCUUAAUUUAACACAGUCUGCACACUGUGAUUAUGAUAGUGGGAAAAUCACAGAGGCCAGGGCCAAGAAGGUCUACAUAUGGACACGAGGCGUCUUUGGCAUCUUCCUCUAACCUUGCCACUCUGAUGGCAGCAGUGGCUUGGGAGUUCCUUCGACCUCAUGUCCCUGGCAGGAGUUGAAAUGAAUAAUAAAGCAGAGUUUAUGAUUUGAUAGAACCCAGAGUGGGGAGCAGCAAGGAGUGAAGCUGUCUUAUUUUAGGAAGCAUGAUGAUGACUUUGAAAAACAAAAUGAAUCCUAUACUGCCCUUUGCAGAGAAUGGGUGGGGUUUUGGUGGUUGUUUGUGUCUUUAAGAAAAGGAAAGAUUCCAGGAAUCAGAGUUUAAUCAUUUGAUCUAAAAUGGAAAGGAACAGCUGAUUUCUAGGUGGUAGGGUCCUGCCCUGCUGAGACCAUGGAGAAAUGUCCCCAGCCUCUGCUGGAGCAGCACGCAGGUCCCUCCCAAGUGGCACCUCUGCCCUCCUUCUGGAGAAUGCUAUCAGGCUACCUGCUGUUCUCUCUGUACCUUUAGGUAGGGCAGCUUCUGAAAUCCUAAACUGCACAGAGUGCCAUUCUAGAGAGACAGUAGCUGCUAAAUUAGAGAAGCAAGAGACCACAAGGUUGCCUUUUGGUUUUCUAGGAAAGAACACAUGAUCAGUGCCCUGGAUGGGGAGACAGGAGAGUUUCAGGGACCACCCCCCCCAGGUCCACUCUGCACUCCUCCAUGCUGGGAAGGGGGUGAGGGUGAAGGGGGUGAGAGUGAGGGGCGGGAUGCCAAUGCUGACCCCACAUGCUGGACCUCUCACACAUGAAGUCCAGAGCUAUCCCGAUGCUUGGGGUUGGCAGAUAACAGAGGGUUAAUUGGCAGGCUGGAACAAGGACAGCGGCAUGUGAAUUGCUUUUGUAGCGCCAGCAAGGCCAGAGGCCAGAGCUUCCUGUCACACUGGCCUGCAGGCAAGACCCCCAUUUCACAGGAGCAGGUCUCUCAUGUGCGAUCUGGCCCCACCCCAUCUUCACAGGCAGCUGUACUUGGAAGCAAAUGAUUUAGUGCUCCUGAGAGAGGAUUGUACAAAGAGAGUACUCAUUAGAGGGGGCUCAAUCUGUCAGGUGCUGUUAUGUCAGGAUCACAGAGUCAUCAGAAAAUUACUUUCAUGCUGGUCUUGGCUGAUAACCCACUGUAUGGCAUCGCCCGUGUAUUGUGGAGGCUCUGGAGCUGAUUUGUGCAUCGGUUUACUUAUCUGAACGGAAAGACUGCUCCCUGCAUUCACAUCCGCUGCCUGUAUGCUUUCUCUCUCCCCCAUGUUUCUGACAUUUGGAUUUUCCCCUACUAAUUGACAUGCCUGCCGUCUCCUUCUCCUGGUGCCCAUUUCUGGAACUGCUAUUUGUAUAUUGCAUGAUGUUUUAUCGGGGGAAAAUAAAACAGAUCCAAUGUCAUGAAAAUGCUGUUUGCCAUAAUGCUCAGGAGGACAGGGGGAAGAGAAAGAGUCAAGUUUUCCUACUGUCUACCCCAUGUGCAGCUCAAGAUUUCCUGGAUUUUAUUCAAAGUCCCUCUGUUCAAGCCUCCCAAGGUUUCCACUGGUCAGUGCUGAGACUGAGCACCUUAGCUGCAUAACUCCACAAGGACUGAGACCUCGCUACUCUCCUUGGACACCUUCCCGAGUCCUACCAGUGAUUCACAAGAAAUGGACACAUUGCACAACUCUUGCCAGUGAGGUGAAGUCUGGAACUUGUGGGAAAGUUCUUCUUUCCCUUCAGAAAAAAUGGAAAUAAGAAAAGCACCUAUUUUCCUGUCUCUGAAUGUCAUUAUGAGAGGCUGUAAUCCUGGGAACAGCCAUCUUGUGACCUUGAAGAAGGAAAAGUCAAGAUUAUUCCAGGAUAGCUGACAUCAUUGAGCUGUUAUCUGGACUUCAGUGGAAUUACUCAACACCCAGACUUCC
Molecule: non-coding RNA, 2582 nt
Organism: Heterocephalus glaber (naked mole-rat)
Lineage: Eukaryota; Metazoa; Chordata; Mammalia; Rodentia; Bathyergidae
Source: RefSeq, a predicted model, not a curated record